CUGCGACCCCAGGUCAGGCGGGAC
RNAcentral lists this ribosomal RNA (24 nucleotides) under Amaranthus viridis (slender amaranth). RNAcentral describes it as "partial 26S ribosomal RNA". Lineage: Eukaryota; Viridiplantae; Streptophyta; Magnoliopsida; Caryophyllales; Amaranthaceae. The record is from RNAcentral.